Felis catus (domestic cat) is the source of this 1464-nucleotide long non-coding RNA. RefSeq lists it as uncharacterized. NCBI's taxonomy places the organism in Eukaryota, Metazoa, Chordata, Mammalia, Carnivora, Felidae. The transcript is spliced from 2 exons. The record is from RefSeq and is a predicted model, not a curated record.
AGCUCAGAGUCUGGAGCCUGCUUUGGAUUCUGUCUCCCGCUCUCUGUCCCUCCCCUUCUCAUACUCGUCUCUCUCUCUCUCAAAAAUAAAUAAAUAUUAAAAACAAUAAGCCAACCCUGGUAAUUCUGAUGCCGGUGACUCUGCAGAUCACACUUGCAGAAAUUGGGCAUUGGGGUAAGAAUCAGCAAGUCGGACACAUAAUAGGUGCUCAGUCAACACUUGAUGAGUUGUAGGUCUGUGUGUAGGAAUGAAUAAAACAUACAAGAGCUCGUGGACGAAUGUGCAGAAGAACAGUUUGCGAAUGACAAUAUGCCGAGAGGGUGUCUGAGAAGGAGGGAACGCACGUGUGGCCGUGCGCGUGGAUGAGGUUGGGGUUCCAGGACAGUGGGGGAGGGGCAGGACCUCCCGAGUGGGUUAAGUGAAGGGCGGUGCUCUGGUGUGUCUGGCGAGGGCCCGAAUGUUCCAAGCGGGAGCUCGAGGCAUUCUCCCCGAGGAUAGGCUGGGUUCUGGGAGCGGGGUAGAAAGGGGACCGUUAUUGUGGAAUCUAUAUAAAGUCCCUGCGGGGACCAGGGUCAGGGCAGCAGUGUGAACCUUAACCCAGAGUCUGGGCCCCGUCUGGGCCUAGAGAGAUGCCUUUGACUCCACAGCCGACCUUCCACAGGGAAGUUUGUUCUUUUAGGUGCCGUUGGGUUUACUCUGAGGACGGGAGCCUUUCUCCCUCGUCUUCACUGCGGAAACCCCUGGGCAUCCUGCGAGACCCACCGAGGAGCGCUGCCUGCGCGUGACCUUCCCCGUUCUAGGUGCGGACCACCGCAGCCCGGCUCGGGGCGCUGCGGGAAAGCGAUCGGGGCAGGGGCUAGAAACCCGUGGCCCCUUCGUCUCAGUCUCCGUCUGCGGCUCCGCCUUCUUCUGUGGCGUCUCGCUGGAAAGGAGACUCCCCUGUUUCUCGCUCUUGUCUCUAGGCUCCCAAAGAAGCUCCCCAUAUGGCCAGGCCUAGGGCAGGGGCCGACCUCCGGACCAGUCACCGCGGCUACCAGGCGGCAUCCUAUGGUAACCAUGGUGACCCCACCGCCAGUGGGGGCAGGGUCAUUCGCAGGGGAGAUGGAGAGCUUUCCAAAGGGUAGGGAGGGACAGCAACACGAGCGGCCCGGCCUGCACCCCACACCCAGGAAGACCUCACUUGCCUCCUCCCCUCUGAUUCACGCUCCCAGUGGGAAGGCAGCGUUCAGCACACGCUUCUGCCAUUAGGUUCAUCUCCCUUGGAGACCGGGAGCUCCUUCAGGCCGUGCCGGCCUCGUCCGCCUUUCCCCAGUCCUGUGUCGGGGCCGGUGCACGCCAGUUGGUGAGGAUCAACCUCACAGAUCAACAACAGCCCUAAACCUUGGCUCUUUCUGUUUGAGAAACCACAAAGGAAAGGAGAACUGGAUUUGGCUACAUUUAAAAAAAAAAAAAGAAGGCACCCUU